This 1047-nucleotide long non-coding RNA is filed under the name Capra hircus (goat). Its description in RNAcentral is "lncRNA (ENSCHIG00000004975.1)". Lineage: Eukaryota; Metazoa; Chordata; Mammalia; Artiodactyla; Bovidae. The record is from RNAcentral.
GGAGGGGCGGGGCGGGGGCGCACCUGUUUGGCCAAUCGACCCCGCUACUACCACCCGCCCCGGCCGGACUGGGCAGGGCCGAUCCCCUCCGCUCUCCGCACACCAGUCCCCAGUCCCCACUUUGGCCCGGGAUCGAGGCCGGGCCACACGCCCCCUGCCAUCCCACACCACCUCGCACCCGCGAUCUGGGUCUGGCCACACCCCCUACUCCCCUCCCCCGGCUCAGGCUAGCCUGUGGAGGCCCUCUGUGUGGCCGGUGUUCCCGGGAAUUAAUCCCAGCUUUAGCCCGAGAACCAUGCGGAUAUCAGACUGAGGAGUGGGCUGCAACCCACCCCUCUUUUACUCUUCACCCUCCUCUCCCGCAAGGAUCUUCGCGCCUCGGUUGACCCCUUAAACUGCUGUGCGCCUCCCUUCGAUCUCCACCCGCAGUGGCCGUGGACUGAUGCUAGGUUCAGAGGUCCGGGAGAGGCGGGGUGGGGUCGGGGUAGGGAGGGGGUUGUGUCAAUGGGAAGGGACGUCCAACCCUCCCACCAACAAAUUCUCAACCCCAGCAGAGUUGGGGCGAACAUCUCCAGAAUGUGCUUGCGAUUAGUUUCAGCAGGUUCCCCAACUUCCUUCGGGGUCACAGUCAAAUUUAAAGCGGGACGGUUUUAUUGUCCCAUUCUCCAGAUAGGAAGACUGAGGCCAAAGGGAGGGAAGAACUUUUCGUACGUGGUGACGAGACUGCGACUUUUUUCAAAUCAAAGGAUCCACCCACACAGAAGCCUCAGAGAAGGUUCUAGUGGGUACUGCUCCAGAGCACGGGCUCUGCGUGGGACAAACCCACAGGACUCUCAGCUCUGCCACUCACUCGCUGUGUGAUUCUGGGGCCCCCAGCUGGAGCUGAAGUCCUUUGGCGGUUACCAUCAGAAGAAACUGAAGGUUCUGAGCUGUCUGUUCCACCCCCAGGGUUGCCAGAGCAACCAGCCCCUUCCUGAGCUUUUAUCCUGACCGUCUGUCUGAGCCCAGCUCCCUCACCCAUGAAUCAUAAAGUCCCCCCAACAGGUG